GUCUUCCUUCUUUAACGUGACCUUCAACACUGGCACACCCUGGGCCUGCCUACCUUUUCAGCAUCAUCCCUCUACCUGCCCCAUUGACAUGGCUGAACUACCAGACUGUUGCCCGGCACACUACAUACCCACUCUGAUGCCCCAGGGCCUUUGCACUUGCCAGCUCCUCUGCCCAUAAGGCUUUUCCCUUUCCUUCUUGCCUGGCAGAUCUUUCAGGAACCAGUUCAGAUACCUUCUCUUCUGUGAAACCUUCCCUUGGCCCCAGAGCAGAACUCACCCCAGACCCCCCGGUAGUACAGUCACUUACUUUGCACACGUGUCCGUCAAAACCAUUUGUUUUCCUGGCUGUCUCCCUUCCAGGCUGUGAGGGAAGGGACCCUGCCUUAAUUUACCUCCUGCUCCCAAAGUUCCAGUCAGAGUCUGGAAUAUGGCAGGCAUGUCAUGGAGGCAUGGAACGCAUGCAUGGGAAGGAUGAGGGGCACAUCCAGGCGGGGGAGGGUGCCUCCUUUGAAUCUGGGCCCCCAGUCCUAGGAUCUGCCCCUCCUCCUCCCCUCCCGUCUUCCAGAAAGCCUUCUAUAUUCCCUCACAUGCCAGAGGCCCCAUUCAAGGCCCUCCCCUCCACUCUCAGACUCUCACACCUUGGAUCCCAAGUAAGCGCUCGAUCCCUGUGAAGAGGUUUGGACCCCAAAGCCUAGAGGGGGGUCACAGGAACCCAGCGUUCCCCUUAGAAAUCCAUCAGAAGGUGACAGAUGCGUCCCCUCGGCAAGCCCCAGCCCGCCCUACUGCUGUGUUCCCUCCCUCAGAGAACUCCCUCCAGCCCGGGACCGGGAACCCUGAGCACCGCUCCCACGACCGGGUGAGGGCGGUACCCGGCCCCAGAAAAGGGUUUCGCCUCCAGCAGCCACCAAGAACGGGCACCAGCCAUGCCUAGAGCGGGCGGGCAAGGCAAGGAGGUGCGCAGAGGCUGACAGGAACUCGUUUAAACCAGACUCAGCCAGUUUUGCUCUGUCUGAGUGGUGGAGGAAGUGAGUGGUUCACACCUGGUAUGAGUUGUAUCCCUGUAUUCUGACCACUGCUUCCUCAACGUUUUGCUGCGGUUGAAGUUUUUGAGGAAAUGCACGUCACAUGUAAUUAACCAUUUGAGCGUACAAGUCACUGCUAUUCAGUGCACUCACCACGUGGUGCGACCACCAGCUCGCUCUACUUUGAAGACUUUUCAGGGGCGCCUGGGUGGCUCAGUCGGUUAAGCGUCCGACUUCGGCUCAGGUCACCAUCUCACGGUCCGUGAGUUCGGGCCCCGCGUCGGGCUCCGUGCUGACAGCUCGGAGCCUGGAGCCUGCUUCGGAUUCCGUGUCCCCCUCUCUCUCUGCCCCUCCCCUGCUCGCACCCUGUCUCUCUCGCUCUUGCUCUUUCUCUUUC
Long non-coding RNA from Neofelis nebulosa (Clouded leopard), 1419 nucleotides. RefSeq lists it as uncharacterized. Lineage: Eukaryota; Metazoa; Chordata; Mammalia; Carnivora; Felidae. The transcript is spliced from 2 exons. The record is from RefSeq and is a predicted model, not a curated record.